RNAcentral lists this transfer RNA (74 nucleotides) under Stegodyphus mimosarum. It matches the Rfam family "tRNA". Rfam says of the family: Transfer RNA (tRNA) molecules are approximately 80 nucleotides in length. The record is from Rfam by way of RNAcentral. Lineage: Eukaryota; Metazoa; Arthropoda; Arachnida; Araneae; Eresidae.
GCUUUCGUAGUAUAAGUGGUUAACACAUUCAGCUUGCAACUGAAAGAUCCGUGGUUCGACUCCUGGCGAAGGCA